Molecule: long non-coding RNA, 2729 nt
Filed under: Numida meleagris (helmeted guineafowl)
Lineage: Eukaryota; Metazoa; Chordata; Aves; Galliformes; Numididae
Description: lncRNA (ENSNMEG00000012420.1)
Source: RNAcentral
GACGCGCUUGGACCAUGGAGCUGCACCGCGUGACCCAGGUGAUGCUGGAGGUGCUGGCGUGCGUCGUCCUGGCCUACCACCUGUCCGAGGCCAACGUCUUCUUCUUCUACCUGCUGCUGCUCCUGCCCCUCAUCUUCCUCUUUGAGGAGAGCGUCGAGCCAUGAGGAUGCCCGUGGUCCCUCUCUCGCUGUGCAGUAAAGAGCCGUGCCCACCCGUGCUGUGUGCUGCUGGCUGUGGGGUGGGGAGGGGCUGUCCCCGCGGCACGCUGCGUGCCCCCGGAAACUCGGGCACCCAAAAACAAGGACAGGGAUGGGGAUAGGGAUGGGGUCGUGACCACAGGUGGGGACAGGCUGGGGCAUGGGGACGGGCGGGGACAUGGGGACAGCAUGCCCUAGGAUGGUGCGGGUGGGCUCUGUCCCUGCAGCUGCAUCACCCUCAGCUGCACCACCCCGAGCACCCACCCAGUGCUGCCCCCACCUCAUCCAUGGCAUGGCCCCAAACGCCCCAGGGACCCCCAGCCCCCCCAGGUCCCAAAUGGGAGAUCUCAAUGGGGAUCGCACAGGAGGAGGGGCCGGGAUAUGGGGACGCUCCAUGUGUGGGCAUCGGGUGUGCAGCCGCUGGGUAUGGACGUGGCACCGCAGGGUGCUCACAGCCCUGGGGACGCGCACACCUGAAGCGCUGGGCACCCCCAGGCAGCAGGGAUGGGUGUGUGCCCGGGGCCGGGGCUGCACCGUUGUGGGGCAGGGACUGCGGGGGGGCACGGGGGGGCACGGCAUGGGACACACGCAGCGGGUGGCACGGACACCGUGGGGACACGGAGACGUUGGACAUGGAUGGACACGGUGGGGUGCACACAGCCCUGCACAGUGACACCACGGGGCACGGACACCAUGGGAUGUGGACACGUGGGACGUGGGCACACGACACGGAGCCAGGGGACAUGGAUGGGCACCAUGGGACACACGCAGCCAGCGCACAAUGACACACGGGUACAGGGACACCAAUGGGACACGGGGCACCGUGGGACACAGACCCAAGGGACUCCAUGGGACGUGCACAGCCGGAGCACAAGGACACCCCGGGACAUGGACACCAUGGGACACGGGACAUCAUGGGACAAGGGGCACCAUGGGACACGGAGCCAAGGGACACGGGUGGACACCAUGGGACGCACACAGCCAGAGCACAAUGACACCCUGGGAGGUGGGAACACAGGACACGGACACCAUGGGACGUGGACCCAAGGGACACGGAUGGACACCAUGGGACGCACACAGCCAGCGCACAAUGACACACGGGUACAGGGACACCAAUGGGACACGGGGCACCAUGGGACACGGAGCCAAGGGACAUGGGUGGACACCAUGGGACGCACACAGCUGGAGCACAAUGACACCCUGGGACGUGGGGCCACUGGACGGGGACACCACGGGACGUGGACCCAAGGGACACGGAUGGACACCACGGGACGCACACAGCCGGCACACAAUGACACACGGGUACAGGGACACCAAUGGGACACGGAGCCAAGGGACACGGGUGGACACCAUGGGAUGCGCACAGCCAGAACACAAGGACACCCCGGGACAUGGAGACCAUAGGGCACGGGACAUUGUGGGACACUGGGUACCAUGGGACACAGACCGAAGGGACACAAGUGGACACCAGGGGACGUGGACCCAAGGGACACGGAUGGACACCACGGGACGCACACAGCCGGCGCACGGUGACACCCCGGGACGUGGGACCACUGCACGGGGACACCCCCGGACACGGUCCUGGCGCUCACGGACCCCCGAGAACGCCCCAGAGGACGCGGACAGAAGCACGGACACGCGGGCCCGGUGCCGCGGCUGUUUAUUGGCGAAGCAGCAGCACGGGGCCGCGGGCCGGGCACGGCGUGCCGGUGCCGGUGCCGGUGGUGGUUCCGGUGGUGGUGGCGCGGGCGGUCGCAUCAACGGCGGCGGCGGCGGCGGCUCCCGUAGCGGCGUCGCCGUCUCCCCACGGAGCGUCCGGAGCGACGGGAGCUCCCGUAGCGGCGGCGUCGGGGGCUGCGGCGGCGUCGGGAGCGGCGGCGGCGGCGGCGGCUGCGGCUGCGGGUCCUGCUGCGCCGGUAGCGGGCCAUGCCGGGCUGCGGUGGGACGGCUCCGCGGCGGUGCCGAGCUGUGCGGUCGGAAGAGCGGGCGGAACGCGCAGCUCGCCCCGGCCCGACCCCGGAGCCACGCUCCGCCGCGGACAACGGGCCGUUCUCACCCUGCUCCUCGCACGCAGCAGCCGGGAACCUCCGGGACAGUUUCGCGAAGCGGCGGCGGUGCCCACCGCCCGUUCUCCGAGCCCUGCGGCAACGCAGCCCCGCACCCCCCGACGGCACGACCCGCUGCGAGCCCCGCCGCGACCCUUAUAUAGCCCGCCCGAAACACGUGACCCCCGUCCCGGCUCCUCAUUGGCCGAGCGCUGCUAGCCCCCUCCCCGCUGCCGGCAGAGCGGAGCUGGGGGGGUGGCCCCGGGGGCCGGGACCGGGACCGGGACCGGGACUGGGACCGGCGGGUCCUACCCCUGCACAGCGGAUCUGCCGGGAGAAACCGCUCCCGCCGCUGUUUUGCCCGGGGCUGCGCGUCCAGCGGGGCCCUGUCCCUCCCCGUGCCACGUGCCCCCACCCUGUGCCGUGCGACAGCCCCCUGUGCCACCCCCACUCCCCCCAUGAGAAAUAAAGGAUCUUGCAGAGACCA